This is a long non-coding RNA of Labeo rohita (rohu), 304 nucleotides long. RefSeq lists it as uncharacterized. Lineage: Eukaryota; Metazoa; Chordata; Actinopteri; Cypriniformes; Cyprinidae. The transcript has 3 exons. The record is from RefSeq and is a predicted model, not a curated record.
GAUGCUUUCGUUCCCUCCACACUGACCGGUGGAGCAGGAGGAUGAAUAAUAUUUGGGUGUCCUCUGUUUGCUGUAGCUGCUCUACCUGAGAAUACAAAAUGUUUGCAGGUUUGAUCCCUGUAGCCAUGAGACAUCACUAUUAUGAUCUUGAGAAAACCAACUGAAAGAAGAGUGCUUCAGGAAAAAGAAAAAAAUGCAGAGGAACUCAAACCUCGAUCCAACAUCUUCCACACAUCCUGUAGGGAAUCAUCAGUGCCCAUGGAUGACAACAAAAAGUGGGAUGACCCAGGCAGCUGUACCGGAG